This is a long non-coding RNA of Cynoglossus semilaevis (tongue sole), 285 nucleotides long. RefSeq lists it as uncharacterized. The record is from RefSeq and is a predicted model, not a curated record. Lineage: Eukaryota; Metazoa; Chordata; Actinopteri; Pleuronectiformes; Cynoglossidae. The transcript is spliced from 2 exons.
CAUCCGGCCCCCCGGGCCUUAUGUUGCCCAUACCUGUACUAGAUCUGCUCCUGACUGCCAAUCUUCUAACAAUCCUUCCUACGACCUUCAUAGGUGGAAGUGAUUAAGAAGGCCUACCAGCAGGACAGCGAGUGUGAAGGCGCAGAGGUUUCUCCACGAGAUGUUGGCCACAACAUCUACAUCCUGGCUCAGCAGUUGGCCCGACACAACAAAGGCCUGCAGAAUAUCCUGAAACCACCGAAGAAGAGCAAAGAAGGAGAAGAGGGAAUCUCCUCCAUGGUAAAC